UUUUUUUUUCUUUUCAAAUCGUAAAGGAUGUGCAACGGCUUUUUUUUUUAAAAGAAAAUGCGUUUCAACGUACUUUGGGCGAGAGUAGUACAAGGAUGGGUGACCUCCUGGGAAGUCCUGGUGUUGUACCCCUCCCAUUUUAUUUCAUAUAAUGUUUUUUUUAGUUGCAUUUUCUCGACGUGGUGUAACUCAUUCGUUAUUUGCGUUUUCUGAAAUAAAUAACUUGAAACGAUAUUUGGUCGAAUUUGCAUUUAAAUUCAAGGCGCAAGUGCGAAAAGGGGCAGCCUUUAUAUGAAAAGAUUGCGCGAGAGUUGACGGGUGCGAUUAUACCAGCACUAAUGCAACGGAUCCCAUCAGAACUCUGUAGUUAAGCGUGCUUGUGCGAGAGUAGUACUAGGAUGGGUGACCUCCUGGGAAGUCCUCGUGUUGCACCCCUCCCAUUUUAUUUCAUAUAAUGUUUUUUUUUAGUUGCAUUUUCUCGACGUGGUGUAACUCAUUCGUUAUUUGCGUUUUCUGAAUUAAAUAAUUUGAAACGAUAUUUGGUCGAAUUUGCAUUUAAAUUCGAGGCGCAAGUGCGAUAAGGGAACCUAUUUUCUCUUGUAUUGACAACAACAUCCAUACUUAAUUGAACUAAAAUUUAAUCCGCAAAACAAAAUUCAAACUCAAAACAUUUUCCCUUGAUAGAGAGAGAUAGAAAGGAAAAAGUAAAUGAAAAAUGGAGAAAAGAGGGGGCCCUUUCCUUCACAAUGUCAAUCAUUUUAUCUUUUUAUCACUGUUUCAGAGUAGUGUAUAGGUGCAUGAUGAACCCCCUGCUUUUAAUCUCUUUCUCUUUUUCUACCUAUAUAAACACAUGAUCUCAAAUUUCAAAAUUCAUUCAAAGUUCAAGUUCAGUGAGGGAAAGAAAGCAGCAACAAUGGAAGAGAAUAAGAGAGAAAAGAAAACAGCGGGCAAAAGAGGGUUAUGGAAAGCUGAAGAAGACUUGAUUUUGAAGAACUAUGUGGAAACUCAUGGUGAAGGCAAUUGGGCCAAAGUUUCCAAAUUAUUGGGUAUGCACAUCUUCCCAUUUUUUAUUUAUCGAGCUUCUUGAUACCCUUUUAUAUUUCGGUAGUCUCAUUAGGUUUUGAUUAAAUUUGAUCUUUAAAUAAAAAAUUGUUGUUUUUUUCAUCUACAAUACUUGAUGUACUCGUUUAUGUUAAUUCAAUCUCUAAAUGAAAAAACAUUAUUUUGUUCAUCCACAAAACUCGAAUGUAAAAUCAUAUUUAUCGAAUUCCUUACUAUUCGAUACAAUUGUUUAUAUUAAUUUCUGUGUAUGCAUAUACAGGGUUGAAGAGAGGAGGGAAAAGUUGCAGGUUGAGAUGGAAGAAUUACCUAAGACCAAAUAUAAAAAGAGGUGCAAUGUCUAAGGAAGAAGAAGACCUUAUUAUUCGUAUGCAUAACCUUCUUGGUAACCGGUUAGUUUUUUUUAAAUGUUGUUUCGAAUUUAAAAUUUAAUCGUUAUACUUUAUUUUUACGUUAAUUGAUUUAAAUAGUCGACACACGAUUAAUUAUUUUAAUUAAUAUUGGGGCAAACAUUUUAAUUUAUUUGGAUUUAUUAAUGACAUUAAAAAAAUAAAAGAUUAAGUUAUGAUAAAUUAAAGUUUUCCUACUCUUUCACAAAAAAUAGUUUAGGGACUAAAUUCAAAACUAAAAUUAGGGGGUUUUUUGAAAAAAAAUGUGGGUGGGGGGCUCUUUCCAACUUUUAGUAAUGUGAUCACUCACUCCAUUUCUCAUAUGAUUUAGUAUACCACUUUAUAUUGAUGGUAACCAAUGUUUUAAAUUUAUUUAUUUAUUGUUAAUAUAUACAUUUAACCCAAUUAUUUUCUAUUUUUGUUCAUCUUCAUCCAAAAAAUUUCAAAAUUCAAUCUUAAUGAGAAGGUUGAAUAAUUCAGGUUUUGGUCCCUUGAUUAAUUGGUCUAAUUCACUUUUAACCCCUCUUAAACUUUAAUUAUUCAAUUCAAUCUUUUUUAGCCUCUUUAUUUAAUGAAAAUUUUGUAUUUUUAACCCCUAUAAAAAUUGAUAUUUUAAUCUAAGCCAUUUUGAUAGAAAAAUAUUUAGCUUUACCCUUUGAAUUUUUUAAAUUUUAUCCCAAAUUCCCCCGCCUCUAUAUGAGUUGUCAUCAUACUAAUAUGGUAAAAUUACUUCUAAAGUCCUUUAAAAUUAUAAAAUUGUUUUUUUAACUCCCAAAAAUUUAUAAUUCAGUUCAAAUCCUAAAAUUUUUUUCCCAAUCUUCACCCUUAUUGUUAUUUUAAUUUAUUUUAAUUAUAGUUAUUUGGAGAUAUUAAUUAUAAUCAUAAUUUUUAAUUAUAUUCAAUAUUUAAAAAAAAAACCUUUUUAUUGUAACAAAAUAUGUAGAUGGUCAUUAAUAGCUGGGAGAUUGCCUGGUCGAACUGAUAAUGAAGUGAAGAACUAUUGGAAUACCCAUUUGAACAAGAAAACCAGUGUUUUAGGCAAAAGAAAAGGCAAAGCCAUUGAUGAAUCCAACCAUCAAUCUAUUCCCAAUCAUCAAAACAACACCAAUACCAACAUUGCAAUCGAGAAUCAAGGCGGCGAAGAACCAAUAGCGCCACCGCCGGCCGAGCUGCCAAUGAUUUCGAGUCCGAAAACGACGACGGACGAUGAAGGAUCGAUGGGUUUGUUGAAGGUCGAUGGGUUAACUGAUAAUACAUGGAUGGAACGUGCGGUUCGUUGCUUUGAUUAUGAUUAUGAUAAUAAUUAUGAAAUUGAAACUCCAUUGAUGAUGAUGAACAAGAACCUUAAUUAUGCACAUAUGGUGUUCGACGAAGAGCCUUUUACGCCUUGUUUGGAUUCUUUCGUUCUUUUUGAAGCAUUCGGGACGGAUUCUGAUUUGGGAAAAACCCAACCGUUCUUGCCUUAGAACUAUCACCGCCGUCUCUGCCGCCGGUUUGCUGGCCCGGGAGUUGUUUUGUGUUGAGCGAGUAAAACUAGUGAAAAAAAAAAAGUGGGGGAUUAUAAUUUUAACUUAAAAUCCCAUAUGCUUAAGUUAAAAAUUAUAAUUCUUUUCUUGGAAAAAAAACUUUUUGUAGGAUUCAAUUUUAAAAAUUUAAAUGUUUUGUUUUAUUUUAUUUUAUUUUUUGUAAUAUCGGAAAUUCGUGUAUUCGUAUCAUGUAUAUGUUCGUAUUGUGUCGUACUCGUGUUUAAAUCUAUUAAAUGUUUUAAUAUUAUUUUCGAUAUUAUCUAUUUGUAUCGUUUUAUAUUUUAUUUUUUUCGUAUUAUAUUUAUAUAUAUAUUAAUAUAUAAUUAUCAUAAAAGAAUCAUGUAGGAAAAUAUGAACGUGUUAAAAAUUUCAAUUUCAAUUCUAAUUUUAUUUUUUUUCUUUUUCAUAAUCAAAUAAUGAAGUUGUUUACUAUCUGAAUACAUGAUAAAUUAGAUAUGUAUAUGCAUAUAUUGUACAGUCUAUGAAAAGUUUUUGCUUAUAAAUAUGGGAUUUUAUUAGUAAACACAUACACUAGUUUUUGGUUCAUAAAGUUUUUUAAUAAAAAUUAGUUUUUGUUAUAUAAUUAUAAUUCGACCGGAAAUUAAACCCGGUAUAAUAAGAGGCAACAGACAAUCCAAAGGAGGGGGCUUUAUCCUCUAGACUAGAACAUCAUCAACUUUCAUCUUGACUUUCGAUUUUGACCUCUGUGAUACCGUGUAUCAACAGACUCAGAUUAUCUUGUAAGCACUACUCCUAAACAAUAAAGUUCUGUUGGAUGAAAAUUAACAACCCUAAUACUCUAAUUCAAAACCGACCCAAAGUCGAAAUUGAUUCAAAAUUUUGUGCAUCAAGCUACCACAUAUUCAAUAUUUUCACUAAUGUUUCUAGGAACAGCCUGCUUUGCCAUCUAAAUCGGCUCGAAAACAGAAUGGUUUGCGUGCUAGAUUGUGUAAUGUCGCUUAUGUAGGAUGAGAUGAGACUGGUUGAUAUCCGCAUUACUUCACUGUAAAUCGGAGAAUGCGGAUGACUGACUUUUCCGGUAGCACGAUCAAUCUGAAAAUGGUUGAGAGUCCAUGCAGAGGUGCACCAAUUUCCUUUGAUAUUGACCAUAAAAUUCACCAACUGCAAUAACAUCUUCAUACUCUGGGUUUAAACCAGGCAAUUCAACCAUUGUAUCCUUAUUUGAUGAUGACGCUGACUCAUCAUCUGAACCUAAUACAUUAGUGAUAAUGUCUGCAUGAAUUUCGCGGCAAGCUAUUAUGAACAUGGAAGCCGUGUCCGGUUGUUGUGCCUUCCGGAGGGCUGCUAAUGCCUCCUGCAUUGCCCCGGCCGCAACGAACAAAAUCAGUGCCCUGCAUUGAACCGUCUCAAGCUUAAGAACAAAAAAAGAUUGUGCAUUCGGUAAUAAGUUCGAUACGGAAAUUGCUUGUACACCUCCAAAUGUUGUGUUCUGCAGAAAGGACAUGAUCAGCCCACCUUUGUAAAACCCUGCAAAAACAACAAUCCGAAAUGAAGUUGCGGUAUAAUCAAAGGCAAAGUAACUUAAAGGACAAGAAAUCAGAAACCUUGCAUAAUCAGAUCCCUUUAAAUGUGCUGCUGCUAAAGUAGCAGCAUCAGUCCAGCAUCCAGCAUCUUGUAGCUGUGUAAGAGUUAAAAGAAACCAUAGGAUGAAAUACUCGAAACAGGAAGAUGAAUACGAAGAAUCCCUACGGUUGUAUAAUGUUGAUAAACAAGUAAAUGGGAAGCAUUGAGUUUGAUUUCGAUAGUUGCCUUAUUGUUUCAACAAACAGAACCUAACCUGUGAACAAGCUUCUUGAUACCUUCCAACGGCACAGAGAAGAUGAAUGCCGGAUAAUGACCGGUCGGUUCUCACCAUGUUAGCAGCAACAACCUAGAUGGAUCAAGAUUCUAAAACCAAGAAAACGACAUGUUUUAAUCAAAGAGAAAAAUGAAUUCAGGGGCAACACUCACCUUAACUGCAAGCUCAAGAAGAGACCUUGACACUGCAGAUGAAAGAGCAACAGCACGUAGAGCAUUCGGAUAGAAGUAAGGGCUUUCCGGUGAAGUGGACAGCAAUAAACUAACAGCACCUUCCAAAUUCCCAACCGAGACAAGACUGUUCAUGACGCAUACAAGUUAUGGUUACUACUGUGGCAGCCAUAGAAUAACACAAGAAUAUGUAUUUGGACAUGGUUAUGUGUCCAACACGAGCAUAUUCGAGUUUUUUAAGGUUUUUAUGUAUUUGGAGGGUCUCCUCGUAUCCCCAUACCCUAGAUAUGUGUGGGACAUUGGUGUUGGACACUUGAGUACUUCAAGAAAAAUGCGUAUUACAAUUACUAGUGUAAUUGCAGCGACUUCACCGAUCAACAUUUAACCGUAGCAAUGAAGUAACAUAAAGGUUGUGAACUCACUCGUGUAUACGGUUCUGAAUUGCCUCUUCUCCCUCCAAUUUCUCAUGCCAAGGGAUACGCUCAUUAGCACUUUUCCAUAAGUCUUCUUGGUCAAAAGCCAUUAACCUAAGCUGACCUUUACUCUGCUACCAGAAAACAUGUGUUGCCAACAAAAGUUAUGCAAGACCCCUAAAUGGUAACCUCACCCUUUGAACCAUUAGAACAUAGAACAGCUAGUAAACCAUUAAAGACUUACCAAAGCAUCCCCCCAUCCGGUCUCAGGUGCCAAUUUCCCCUUUGAUGUAAUUCUACUAAGUAGAGCUGUGUCAUCAAGCUCUGAAUCUUCCAAAAAAGGUACCUUCUCCGGAGACUUUUUUACUAAUUUACUCAUCAAGUGGUUCAUAGCACGAGGCAAUUGCAACCAGAAAAGUGCUUCUGAGACCUCACCAAAUGUAGCAGCUGCAAAGGCAAACCUUGCAGCACAACCCUUAUUGACAAUGGUGGCAUACAAUCUAGCCCUUUCCUCAUCAAAUAUGCAGCCUUGAGCAAUGAACCAAUGGGGAAAAAAAAAAGGGAUAAGAAAAAAACCAAUCAAAUUUUCAAUAAAAGAAUUAGGUACACACUGAAUAGGUUGUAGGAAACCUGCCUUCCUUCCGGUAAGGUUCUAAUACUUUGAGGAGCAAUUCUGGCACUACAGAAUCACCGACAGGUGGUAAUUCGAUCAUGUAACUGCGAAGAUCCCCCGUGGAUGAAGUAGUUCUUGUAAUGGAUUGGGGCCUUCUAUCUAUAGCUGUUGUACCUAAAGUAUUAAACCAAGAGGGUUUUACACCUAACUGUAAGAUCAUUCGCAGUGCCUGUAAUAGAAGACAUGAAAAUAGAUCAUUCUUUGAAUACUCAUUUAACCUUUGACGCAAUAUACAAUUAAAAUGAAGCUUUCACAGUAAGCAGAAACAAGGUCAGUAUCCUAUUGCAACUCAAGGUAAAUUACUAAUGCAGUUACUAGUUAGCCAUUAGUGUAUUAACUUAGCACCAUGUAAAUGCACAACAUGGUACCUAGUAAUAUCAAUUACUAAACCAUAAAGGGAAGAAUAAUUCUUACCAAUGCAUGAGGUGUCGGAAGCAAUAUGGGACAACAUAAAGGCAUCGGUCGGAAUCUCUCUUUUAGAUUUCGAGGCUGCCGUCCAGGGAUCCUUCUCUUAUCAUUUCUGUAUGAAUGAGUGAGGUUACUGAACUACAGAGUAAGUGAGCUUUCACAUGAAUCAUAUAGCAUAACAUUAUUCGUUUCAUCUCGAAACUAAUGCACUGAUUGUUUUCAUCACGUACCUAACCUUUCCAUCUCUUUGCUAGCCAUUCCAAACCUAUCACACCCUGAGUAAAUUAAUUUACAGUAACAAACUAUGUUGCCCUGAUUGUUCUUUUCUUUAAGUACCGUGUCCAACACUCAUGCCUAUACUCACCCAGGUUCGAGUAAGUUAGGUUAGGUCUUCUUUGCACCAUGUAAACUAGAUCUAACUACAAUGAAGAGAAGAUUGAGAAUUGUGAACAAAUUGUGGCACAUACAUGUUAACCUCGUAAAGGCGGAAGCUACUAUCAGCUCCUGCAAUACACAAAACCAGUGGAUCAUUCUCAGUCCACAAAGGCAACCAAUCCAAUUCUAAUACAAGGGUUCCAGGACAUAGAGGUUGUAAAAGAGAAUUGACUAAUGGUUCUGGCGAAUCCUGCAAAUACCAAAAUAUUGAACAUUAAGUUCAAAUGUAGAAAUACUCUUCCAAAGGUCCUCCAGGAAGCCCCGUUGAAGGGAAGAAGCAGUGGUAAAUGCAUUUUGACACUUACAAGAUCAAAUACAGAAAAUGUAUUGUCAUAAAAUAGUACGGCAAUGCGCCCUCGACUAUGGUCCCCAGCAACAGCGGGUGAGAAUUUGAUUCUUCGGAUUCCUUCUCUAUGAGUGUUAAAUGAGGAAGAAUGUCCAGUAGUUACAUCCCACCACCUGACGACUCCUGACCUGUCCCCCAUAACCUGAGAAAUGAAUGAUGUUAGUGGCUACAGAUAUAUCUUCAAAGAAACAAGAAAAUAUAAACUACCAAUUGGAUGGGGUCAUUUAAGAUACAAUACGUACAACAUGAGGCAAGCGGUAUGCCAUGGCUGUAAUCAAUCCAUCAGAUGAAACAAAUGAAGAAGAAGGCCAUUUUGGUCUGCAGACAAGCAAAUGAUCCUUGUUAAUGCAAGAGUUACAUCCUUUCAAUAACAUGUAGACAUAAGCUGGCUCCAUAACCAUGAGUAUGAAUACAAAUUAUACCUGAAGUCUCGAAUCCUCCGGCCAUGAACCUCAAAGACUCCAAGUGCACCAUUAACUAAGGCAAAAGCAAAACUCUCGGAACUGUCGUCGUGCGAGCCAUCCGAGCUCCCUGUCUCUGCAUAUGGAAGUUACACUCAUAACCGUGUAACCCUUCAGGUGAGAACAGUGGUCUAAAUACUGAUUGAUGGGAAGUAAAGAAUCCUACUAGUAUCCGAUGAAGAUGCCGUUGUGGAUGAGGCUGCCUCUUCUGAAGCUGCAGCUGCAUUACCGUUAGGGGAUAAUGGAGAUUGCUUAGAGGGACCAUUUUGAACUGGUCGGGGAACUGUUGGAAGAGUCCAUUCCAAUACCGUGAACGGAAGAGCUAAUGAUCUAAGCUACAUGGAAGUAUAGGUCAUGUUAAUUUAUACAUGUUUGAUCGGAAAAAUCAGAAUAAAAACAAAGUCAACGAGAAAAAAAAUCAAGCACUGAAUUUAAACCAUAAGGUGAUUCUGUCUCAAUAUAAGAGAAUCCUUCAUCUUGCUACUUUAUUACUGGCAAUUUGCGAAGCCAAAUGAAAUGUCAUAAAGCCAGCAAUCAAGUCAAAAUAUAUUCAUACAGAAAGGGUAUAUAGUGAAAUAAAGCUCACUGGACAGUGGCUAGAAACCACAAAAUAAGAAGUUAAAUAUCAGAAAUGUUACAACCCAUAUAGAGAAAACCUUAAGUAACAAUCAAACUUACCAUAAUUGGAUUUUUUGUCAUUGCCCAAACCUCAACAGGUGCAUCACGAAAUACAAUCAGAAGAUACCUAAAAAGGUUAAAACAUGACAGUAUAUCACAUACUUUCUGAGGUCUCUUGUCUACCACCAAUGCUAAACCACUCCCUUAAACCAAUAGAGCAAGUGGUUGAGGCUCUCUGUUGGCACCCCAAGGAUCAGGGUUCAAACACGGCUACUGCCAUCCCCUCCCGAAAUUGUAAAUAGUAAAAUGUACCAAAAAAGCAAGAGAAUUUAGGAGUAGAGAAAACCUUCCAGAGGAUGAUGCCCUCAAAGCUCUUACAGGUGCACGUUCUGGCUUUUGUAAGGCCCGGAAAGUUCUAUUAAGUCCACUUCUAAGACAAGUCACAACAAGUCUGUUAUUGUAGCCUCCAAUUUUCUCACUCACCUGACUCCACAAUAGUACUAAUAUUAAGUAAUAAAGCAAAUGAUGUUGAAGAAAAAGAAAGGUCGGCCUAGGGAAAGUAGGAACUAAUUACUAGCUAUCAAUGCACAAAACAAGCAACACUGUUGGAAACUUAAUAUGUUUACCUCUGUGUAAGAAAAUGAAACCAGCCUUGAAUUCCCAAGCCAUCUUAGACCCCUCACUUUACUACUAUGAACCGAAAAUCCGGCUGCAACGGCAUUGGCGGAGACAUCGAUGACAUCAAUUGUCCCAUUUUGAGUACCCAAAGCAACUAGUGGAACAGCUACUGCAGGGCUAUUUCCACCACCUUUCGCAUAAUAUCAUGUGAUUAAUCAACUUGUAAAAAGCUUAUAUACUGGCAAUUGUUUGAGAAGAAGUUUAACAAAAAAUUGAAAUUCAGAAGGUGGAACUAACGGGCCAAUGUAGCGGUUAAAGAAGGGGAUGGCACUGCCAGCAUGGUCACUGUUGAAGAAAGAAGCUGAAGCUGUCCUACUAAGCUAAUCUGCAGAAGUUAUUUGGCAUUGAAGUAUGCAUGAUAAAGCCAAAGAAUUUGUUCGCAUAUAUUAGCUAGCUUUCAUCUUGUUCAUCCAUGUGCAGCUAUGUCAAUAAAGUUUCACUAGGAAGUUGUUUCAUACACGGUCAAUGCGUUAAAUAUAAACCCAGAAAUUAAAUGGACCGUUUAUUUGCAGACCUUAAAUGUCACAUCGGGUCGGGCAUCGGUCGAGUUUGACUGCUGAAUUCUUGCACCAUUCACUUUGUGAAGCUGCCUGCCACCAUCUGCAGUAGAUUCAUCAUUAGAAGAAACUGUGGUGUUUGCAUUAGUUGAUUCUUCAAAGACAUUGGCAUUUCUCCCUGAACUUAUAGCACCAUUCUGCAUAUCUCCAGUCCCUUCAGCGGUCAAUAUCCAGCUCCAUAGUUUGCCAUCAUCAGAAAUGGAUAUCAAAUGUGUUUUAGAAACAAGGAGAGUAUCAUCACAAAAAUCAAAAGGGUUAUCGAAAUCAAUAUCAGAUGCAGCAGUUGAUAAUUUAGAACAAAUCUUGCUGAUGUUUUGUAGUAUGGGCUCUGAUUGGCUGAUAAGGACUGAAAGGAAUGAUGGUGAAGGGACAUAUGAACCAAAUGAUGGCAUCAAGUCUUCCAUUGUGCACAUUAUAUGUAUCUGUUCUCUGUGAUAUAAUAUCCAAAUAAGUACAUUCCUUUUUGUGAUUUAAAAUGUCAUUAACAUCUAAACUCAGUAAAAAAAGAAGUAUCUAUAUAUCAAUAUGAUUUAAAAUGUGAAGAAAAAAUAAAAAUCUGAAGCUUCAACUUGCAGUGACAACAAAGUAUAUCACCAUGGAGAAAGAAUGGUAAAAGUACUGAAUAGGUCCCUAUACUAUAGUGCAGAGUGCUUUUUGCUCCCUAUACUUUUACAUUGAGAAAAAAAGGUCUCUAAAUGUUAGAAAAACAAGCAAGAUAAUAAUUUUUUAAUCAAUUAGAAAGAUUAUUAAUUCUACGAGAAUGACUUAAUUAUAUGAUAUGGUAUUAAUUUAGAAUAUGAUUAAAUGAGGUGACGACCAUUGUAAUUUAAAAGAAUUUAACUCAACCUGAUUUGAUACCUUACAUUUAAAUGUAAUAGUUUGAGUUUUUAAAGUUAUAAUAUAUUGAUUGAACAUAGCAUGUUGUAUUUUAAAUUGUUAUAAAAGUAUCAUUUUGCUCAAUUUUCUACUGUAUAUGGACUUUUUUGCUAAUUUUAAAAGUACAGGGACCAAAAUAUUUCUUACUUUACGUCGCAUAGUCCCUAUCUCGUAAGAACCUUCUUUGAAACAUUUCCUAAUUUAGUCACAAAUUUUCUCAUUCCUUAAAUGACCCAAAAUACAGCGCAUUGUAAAUUAGUGGUCCAGUUUUAGUUUUAGUCUCUCUAAUAUAGUUAAAUAUGACAUUUAGUGGUCCUAAUUCCGAGACUAAUGUGAACAAAAAAAAAUUUCAAGGACCAAUGUGGAAAAUUUUAACUAGUUCAGGAAAAAUACGUAAACAUAAAAUGGCGUCAAGUUUACAAUGCAUAAAGUAUCCUAGUAAAAAAAAUUCAAGGACCACGGUGGAAAAAGUUACCUAGUAAAGGGACUAAAAACAGAAUUAGACCUAAAUUUGAAGUAAGCUAUUUAAUAGCGACAAGUUUAAAUUUCAGUAAAAAAUACGUAAACAUAAAAUGCUUACUCUUUCCUUUGCCAGAUACUGAGCUUCCCAUCGAUGUGAGCACAAUAAACCAGCUCCUGGUUUGUGUCGGGUAACACAUCAAGGAACUUGGAGCACCCGCGAGGCAAUGCGGCGGAGAACAGCGUCGUUUCGUACUUCAUAUCGAAAACCACCAGUUCCCGAGGGAACGUCACGUAAAUCACAUGUUCCCAGUGCGGCGAAAACGCCAAACGCACCGCGUACAGGGGGAAAACGGCGGAAGCGGGAGUCGAAGUAGAGCUCCCGCCGGUAGCGGCGGCGGCGGCAUCUUUUUCUAGCUUAAGUAUUUCCUUACAUUUGGUUCGGAUCAAAAACUUCUUGAGGGCAAUAUCUUCUUCUGAUUCUCCCAACACUUUGAUGGAAAGAAGGAAUCCUUUGAGUCCGAUGAUACACAAGUGGCGGGAAUCGAACGGAUCGCGGCGGACGCAAGAGAGAUAUUCCGGCGAAGCGUCAUACUUGAAGAUGAAACGGCAAGUGGAAGUGUUGUAGAGGGAGAUGUGAGAAGGACCGGAGAGGGCGGCGAGGAGGAAAGAAUCGGGUCGGGCCUGGACCCAACAAAGGUCCUGGACACCCGUUUUAGAAGAAGGAUCUGGCGGAUCGAUGGAAAGGAUGAUUGAACGGAGGCGGAAGUCGAGGAGAGAGAUACGGCCGUGGCGGUCGGCAGCGGCGAGGAUGAGGUGAGAAGAGGAAGGUUCGGUGGCAAGAAGGUCACGGCGGGGAGGGAGAGGGGUCCACCGGACGGAAGUGACGAAAGGGGAGAGGGAAGCGGUGGAACUGGAGGAAGGAGAAUGUGAAGGGAGGGGGACAGUGGUGACGAGCUGGAGGGAAUUAGAGUCAACGACAGAGACGGAGGAGCCGGAGGCGAAGGCGAGGAGGCCGGAAGGGCUGAGAUCGGCGGAGCCGAAAUUGUUGCGGCUGGGCGGGCCGGGAAGCAUGCAAUUCCACGAUUCGUUGGGCAACGGUCGAAGUAUUGGACUCGACAUUUCUUUUCUGUAAACUGAAAAUUUGAAAAUUCGUUAAAAUUUUAUUUUUUUGUAAUGAUAUGACUUUCCCUCGUUAGUUAGUUGGUUUUAUUUGCUUAUCAUCAGGGUUAAUUUCAUCACAAGUCCCCAAACUAUGGAUCCAAUUUUAAAUCAAUCCAUAAACUUCAAAACAUUCCAAUCGAAUCCUCAAACUAAAGCAUUUUUCCAAUCAGGUCCUUCUAUCAGUGCUUUAGCAUCAAAUACCAGCCUGUAUCUCUCGUAGAUAAUACUAUAGUUUGAGGAUUCGAUUAAAACAUUUUUAAGUUUUUUUGUACCAAUUUAAAAAUUAGGUUAUAAUUUGAAGACAUAUAGUGUAAUUAACCCUUAUUAGUUUUCUUAUAAUUUUUCGUUAAGAGAACCGUUAAGCUUGCCUGAGACGAGACUCUAGCCUGAAAAUACUCCUUGCAAGGAAAUUGCUUUAAUUUUACACUCUUUUUUCCCCAAAAAUAGUAUUUAUUUGCUUUAUUUUUUCCCUAUUUUAAAAUUUUAAAAAUCAAAUAUAUAAAAUAAAAUUUUGAGAAUGCCGAGUUAGUCUUGAAAUUGAUUUUUCUGACACCGACGAAAAUAAAAGCAUUACAGUAUUGAUAUAUAUAUAUAUAUAUAUAUGUUUGGAUAUAAAGCUUUAGAUUGUAUUAAUUAAAAUUGGAAGGUUACAAAGUAUUAUCAACAAAAAUAAAAUUUUAGACAAAGUCGACUCGAUCUUCGAAAUAUUUAUUAUUUUAUACCUCUAAUAAAAUUAUGGUACCAUUUAGUAAAUUCUUUACGUGAAUAAGUGAGGUUCUUGAAAUCAACUAUCAAGUAACCUACAGUAGAAAUAUCCUUUGACAUUCACGUCAUUUCUUAUUGCAGUUUGGAGUUGAUGCAAAUGUUUUUGAAGAAAUUCAAUUCUGCUUUGAUUCUUAAGUGCCUCGGAGAUCGAUAUGCUAUCGUUGCUUUUCUCCCUAUAACCAUUCUCAGUAACGUAAAUUGUAAGGUUUUUGCUGUAGUUUUCCUUCAUAAGCUUCAGAAGUUUAGAAAGACGUCCUUUGGGAUAAACGUAAAGAAAUAUACUCCCUCCCGCAUUUGGACCAAUAAGGACUCCAUCUUUGUCAACUGUGGCAUUUUACAUUAGAAUCUACCAAGUAGCUAGCUGAUGCAGCAUUUGGAGUAGAUGGAAUGUUUUUAGCAUAUCUUGAGGUAUAAUAAUUGACGCCGAUGAAAUCAAAAGAUCCUUUGACUAGCUCAUUUUGUUCCAGUGUGAAAACAGGUAGCCUAUCUUUAACCAAUCUUCUCAUGCUUUCUGGGUAUUCUCCGUGCAUCAAUGGUUCCAUAAACCAUCCCAACUCAAAAUCCAUACCUCUUUUUGCUGCCUCUUUAUCAAGUGAUGUGUUUGAAUAUGGCUCAUAAUAAUGGGAAUUAAGGGCUAUUCCAAUUUGUCCACCUUGUGUUGCCUGGUACUCCUUUUUGUAAAGCUAAGCAGCUGUUGCAUGAGCAAGAAGAACGUUAUGGGCAACAAUAUGUAAGGUUCAGUGGCUGCAUUACCAUUGGGACAAAUUUUCCUAUCUGAACAUCUUCCCGGUGGACCCACUCCCAUGGCAUACCCCAUUUUGGCCAUAAUUAGUGGCUCAUUCAUUGUAAUCCAAUUUUUAACUCGAUCUCCGAAUGUUUUAAAACAAAUUUCAGCAUAAUCCUUGAAAUCAUUCACAAUGCUAUGAUUUAAGAAGCCUCCAUACUUGCUUUCAAGGGCUUCCGGGGAAUCAAAGUGCAGUAUUGUCACAUAGGGAUCGAUGCCAUUUUUAAUCAAGUCAUCGAUGAAACUGUUGUAAUGAUUGAUACCCUCUUGAUUUAUUCCACCACCCAAAGUUCCAUCGGCUAAAAUCCUUGUCCAAGGAAUGGAAAAUCUAUAAGCAUUAACGCCCAGGUCUUUCAAAAUCGAUACAUCUUCCUUGUAGCGAUUAUAUGAAUCAGCAGCUACCUCCAAGUUGCUAUUGUCUGUUUUUUUUUCUGGAAAUUCUCGAAUAAACUGGUCCCAAACACUCGGCCCUUUCCCUCUAAAUUUAGUUGAUCCUUCAAUCUGCACAGCAGCAGUCGAUCCUCCGAAAAGAAGAUUAUCCGGAAAAUCUGACCUCUUAACACUCACAUAUUCUUUUUGGGAUUCUUGAGUUGGUUGACAAUUGGAAGACAAGCAAGCAAGCAAAACAAAGACAAAGAUCCUUACCAAACACUUAGUUGCUGAAAUCGACAACAUCCCUUAUAACCUUGCAGUUUCUGCAGCACUUACAAGGUUAACAAUAAAAAGAAAUUAAAGCAUUCGAGGCCGACUGUGGAAGGAUUCAUGGAGGAACCACCUUUUAUAUAUGAGUACCCAUCAAACCUAUCUAACAAAAAUCCUAGUUUACAGUCAGUUACUAAACUAAUUGUCAAUCGCUAACCUGCUUAUCCCAAAAUAGGCAAUAUUUUAGUAAGUUUUAUAUUUAUACAAAUAUGUUUUAAAUUAUUAUAAUAUUUCGAUUUAGUGGUAAGAAUAUCGUGUUGUUGUGAUAUAUAAAAGUUUACAUUUAAUAUUUAGCAACAACACCCUCUAUAUUUAAUUAAUCAUACCCAUAUAUUUUGAAAUGGUGGUUGACAAAUCUUAUUAUUUAUUUAUUUUAUUCAUUCUUUAAUAAUUGAAUAAAUAAAACUCAAAGUCAUUAAACUAUUAGUAAUUUCAUUUUUUGGUCGCUCAAUUUAAAAAAAUUUAUCAAAUGAUGACUGAACUAUUUGAAAGUUUCCAUUUAACUGGACUGUUAAAAUCGUUGUUGUAUGACAUUUUCUAUUUGUACCGACUACAUCAAUUAAAAGCUCUUAUUCUCCUUCUCUUCUAUAAUUUAAUUCUUUUUUUCAUGAAACAAUUUUAAUAUCACAAAUUUGAGAACGAAAAUUCAAAUAGUUUUUUUUUUAUCUCUGAUAUUGACCGUCAAAUCCACUUAGAUUGAUAAGAACUCGGUUCGGUGUUGAUUCGAGUCAUUUAGAUUGCCCGAUCGUGAAAUUAAGUAAGUUGUUAAACUUAUAGCAAAAUAGGCUGGAAAAAUGAAGAAUAAGUUCAGGAGAAAAGGAUGCAAAGAGGGUUUAGGAAAAUGGAAUAUUAGAUUCGGCUAAGACCAAGAGUGAACCAACAAUAUAAGGGAAUGUUGACCCAAAAUUUAUACGGCACUUAAAGAUAAUUCGGUUCAGAAAACAGCAAACAAAAACCUUGACCCACCAUCUAACAAGAUAGGAAUCAAAGGUAUAACAAACGCCACACUUGAAGUGAUAAGUUCGGAUAUCAAAGGAACUAAAGAAAAUUAAAACAACUGAAUUAAUUAAACUAAACAUAUUAAAAGUUCAAUCCGGCAAUUAGAUUAACAAUCUGAAAUUGGAACUUCAUUUUGCACUUGAGCCCCUCGUGCUUGGGCCAAUUCCGACUUCGUCGAGCCGUAUCGUAACAUGAUGCGGCCGGGAUUGUAUCAUAGAUCCAUAGUAGGUUCUUUUAGUUGUCAAUGAAUACUAAUUCACAGUAUCGAUUAUCAAAUCGUAACUUAAAACUUGCUACUCAAAUUUAAAAAAAAAUUAAUGAUAUAAUGAUUUAAAUAAAAAAAAUUUAAUAAUUUAAGGACGUAAAUCAAUACUUUCAAAUAAUUCAAUAACUAACUAUUUUGUAACCUUUUAAAUUGAAUAUUUUAACUAUUUAAUAAUUUAUCUUUUUUCAUAAUAACAAAGCCAACUCAAACAAAGUAAAAGAGAGAAAGAGGGGGGGGGAUAAGAUGAGAUCAUAAAGAGAACCUUAGGUGUAACUAUAAGAUUGAUAAUGGCACUUGUGUAUAGAAGAUCAAAAUAAGGUUUUUCUCCUCAAGUUGACGCCUUUUGGGUUCAGAUUUUAGCAUGACAAAAUCUAGGGAUUCAGUCUCUAAAUAUAAUAAAAAGUAAAUAAUUAAAUAUCAUGAACACAACUUGAAAAGAAAAAAGGGUAAAAUUUCAAGCUUCAUUUACAAAAAUAGAGUAGUUGCAAUUGUACAGUUCAUAUACAAGGAGAAGCCUACAAGAUAUGAUGACUUGGAAAAAACUUACAAAAAAAAAAAAAAACACAACCAAAACUAAGGUUGUAGUAAUGGUGGAUGAGUCACUCAUCCGCCAUAACCAAAGAUCAUCAAUCUGUGAGUGUGACCACACCAAACAUAGAACUGUUCAAAGCCACCAUUACAUAACACAGAGACAAAAGGAAAUACAGACAAGACCUACCCUUUGAAAAAAAAGCAAGAUGAGAUUUGAUCUAAAACCAACAGACUUUUAUGACUGAAAACAAAAGCUAAAACACCGGGUAGCAGCAGGACGGAAAAAGCUAUGGUGGUGGUGGUGGUGGUGGUGAUCAUGAGUGGAAACCUAAAACCGGGAACCAUGGCUAUCGAGAAACAGGCUAGCUCAUGUGUCGGGAGAGCCUGUAAAAAAAAUAAAGGGAUGGUUUUAUAGGCCAUCUCUUAAAACUGUGCCAAAGUUCCUGGGAAACAUCAAGUGUAGAGCAACCGGCAGGACCACCUUGUCGGACCAAAAAAAAAAAAAACUGCAGCGAAUGUUUGCUACUACCCGGUCUUGUGAGCCGACUAUAUGAGUUUAAUGUUCAGAUCUCAACGGAGUUGUAUCCAUGAUUAGAAAAGGAUGUCACAUUUCCAUAGGGUCUCAACGAGCAGCUCAACGGUUCGAAUGCUGAUUGAAUUGCAGUGCUGGAGAUUUAACCCCAACAAUGUCUUGCCUAGUUUUUUCAAGGAAGACAAGCUUUUGUUUGAUACUCGGGAACAACCCGAAAAAGAAAGGACUUGUAAGUUGAGUUGCUCGGCACGAGACAAGGCAGCAACACCAGAAUCGGUAACUGCUGACCUUGAGACAUCCAGAUCACUGAGGAAAACACAACUUUCUGCUAUUGCCAUCAAACUUGCAUCCGUAAUCCUCCUGCAACCAUCAAGAUUGAGCAACUCAAGGGUUCCACCGUGCAGCCUGGUUAAGGCCAAAACUACUUUGUCGGUUAUAUUUAAGCAUCCGCUCAAAUUCACCUUCACGAGUCCAGCCUCACAACUCUCCAGAAGAGGCAGAAGACCUGCGUCCGUGAUCCCACACAACCCACUCAGAUCUACAUGCUGAAGCUGAGGGCACAAUCUGCCCACCACAGCGAGGCCAGCAGUCCCGAACCCAGGACAGUUCCUUACUGACAAUGAUUUAAGGGAAUUGCAGCACGACAAAGGAACUUCCGAGGAUAUAUCCUUAAUUCCCAUGCACUUUACUACGGUAAGGGAUUUUAACGAACAGUUUGAGAGGACACCAAUAGUCCCGGAUUGGGUGAUCCUGUUGCACUCCUCCAACUGUAAGGACUCAAGAGAACCUGCAGAUUUGGCAAAAGCCACCAAUCCGUCAUCCGAAAUAAAGCAACACCGGCGAAGGCACAUCUGCCUCAGGUUUGCACAUCCCUUUCCCAUGGCUUCAAGACUCACAUCUGUUACCCCCCGGCAGGAUAUGAUCGUCAAAGAGACCAACUUUUGUAAGCCUUGAGCAUUCCCCAUGACCCAAAAUCCCUUCUCGCUCACGUUUUCUAGGCCGCUAAGCAUUAGAUUUGUCACCGACUUGCCAUAGUGACCGAUCACAGCAAGAGAAAAGUCUGUGAUAUUCAAACCCUGAAAUUUAACCUUUGAAAGGACAGAAGAUGUUGACGACAACAGGCUUGAAACUCCGUGAUCCCCAACAAGAAGGCAGUCCUUGAUGGAGACAGACUGCAACUUAGGGCAAAGCUUUCCGAUAGCUUGAAGGCCUUCGUUCCCGAUCUUGGGGCAAGACUCGAUGCUCAAAGAGGUCAAAUUAGGGCAGUUCUCUGCAAUUGCAAUCAAACCCUUGUUUGAAAAUGAAGGGCACUGGCAAAGGUCAAGCUUCUCCAACAAAUGGCAUUCUUUAGCUAUCUCAGAGAGACCUUCAUCCCCAACACGAGGCACGUUCCACAAAGAAAGUGCCUUGAGAGAAGGGCAACCACGAGCAAUGGCUGAUAGCCCGAAGUUGGUUACUCCACUUGAAGAGCUGCUUCCCCUAAUUGAAAGCUUUCCCAACCCACCAUGACCACUCGUUCCAACAGCAACUGCAGCUAGCCUCAUGUCAGUUGCUUUCUUCCCUUCCAAGCACCUCGUAAGAUACCCAUCAUCUUCAUCAGAAACUGAAUCAGUAUUCUCCUUGACCGCCUUCGAGGAUUCGUACUCACCCUUGCGAAUACUGAUCAAAAGCAUAAGCCAGUGCUUUGAUACACAAGCACAAGAACUCCUUUCCCUGCCGCCUGGAAGUCGUUUGAAGAUCUCGAAAAGGCACUCGUCAGGAAGGACAUCGAUUGAAGCUUGCUUGCUCUGCUCAAACAAAGUUUCUCCAACAACAAACGGGGCAGUAAUUCGAGCUCUUUUACGAGGAGGAUAGUAGACAUCCACUUGGGAACUGAUUGAACACAACCUACCCAAAUCUGUGGAAUUUGUAUAAAAAGAACCCCCAGAAUAGAAAUCAUCAUCACCUGAAAUUCCCAACAAAGAAAAAUCAAUAACCUAAAACUACCCAAAGAACAUAUAAAGCUCCUUCAAGGAUCUAAUCCAAUUCUCAAAUCAUAUAUUCAAAGCUAACCCUAAGCUAAAACAAAAAUAACCCGUAGCUCAAAAUCAAAACCAUGUCUCCUCAGUGAGACAUAACAUCAAACACAUCAACUACAACAACAAAGAACAAUCAAUAACCUAAAACUACCCAAAGAUCAUACAAAGCUCCAUAAAAUUUCCCACUUUGAUACAAAUCUUCAAGGAUCUAAUCCAAUUCUCAGAUCAUAUAUUCAAAUCUUGCCUGAGCUAAAACAAUAAGAACCCAUAGUUUAAAAAUAAAAAAAACCAUGUCUCUUCAGUUAGAAAUAACAUCAAACACAUAAACUACAACAACAAAACCUUUCAAUCUAGCAAAAAAAGAAAAACAGAUCUACAAAAUUAAAAAAAGCUUACCACCGUAAUUAACAAGAGCAGGCAUGGUUGAAUAAUCCCAAACAAAGAAUCUUUCAAUGAAUCCACCAACACCAAAACGCAACAAAACGCUAGCAAAACGCAAACCAAGUAUACCCUUUGAAAGCUUGAAUGCAUCUAAGAAAUUUGUUUAGAAGAAAAAAUUCAUAAACCCCAACAAGUAGGGCAAAAAAAAAGAGAGAUUGAAAGAAGAGAAAAAAAAAAAAGGAGAAACUUGUUUUUUGUGUUGAACUGAAACAGAACAUAAGAGGAUGUAUAUAUUUGGUUGGAAAAAACUAGGAAGAUGUCAUGUCUUAGAUUUUUUUUUUUUUUAUGUUUUUGUUGCAGAUACAUUAACUGACAAGUUCUGCUAUAUGCAAUGUAUCUUUCCAUAGAACCUGUCUUAUUAUUCUCUUUUUUUUAUUAUUUUCUCUCACUUUCUUUUCUAACCAAACAACCGGUUAACCCCUUUUGGCCUAUGUUUGCCCAAUUUUUAAGAUAAAACUUUGUAUGUGGUGGUGGAUUUGAAAUUGUUUGGUUUUCUUUUUCUUUUAUAUAUAUAUUUAAUUUCUAAUUAAAUAUAUAUAUAUAUAUAAACCACCAGAACUUAAUAUAAUCUUAACUUUUAAAGGAAGAAAUUUAAAUAAUUUAAAUUUAUAAUUAUCUUACACAUUGGAGUGACUUAAACACAGAAUGACUCGAACCAAAUUGAUUCGAAAAUCUUAAAAUUUUAUUUGAGUUUUUAAAAAUAUCCUCUUAUUAAUAUUUUAUAAAAAUAUAUAAAAAUAAAAAUACUUUUAUAUUAAUAAUUAUUCUAAAAACAUAUUUAAUUAAUAGUUUUUUAAAAAAAAAUUAACUGAGUUAACCUCCGAUUUAUUUGUGACAUUAAUUUUCAAUAAAUAAUAUUGAUUCAGAAUAUAAAAAUUAAGUAAAGAAUAUUUGUUUUAAAAAAAUUGGAUAACAUAAACCUCUACUUUUUUGAUAAUUACUUUAUUUAACUUUAGAAUAAAGAAAUGGCUAAUAUUGCAUUCAAGUAACAUUGAACUUAAUUAUGGGCGGUGCAUAAGUAAUUAUUUUAGGGACUUUGCAUGCAAGAUUCUUGAAGUAUCUUGCAAUUAUGAUUAAUUAUUUUUUUUCUCAAGUGGAGAAUAUCAUUUUCAAUUACAUCAUUUCUCUUUAAUUAUGAGUUUGAUUAAUGGAAAUUCUUAUUUAAGCAAAGAAUUGUACUAGGUAAAAUAAAACGAAACUCAUGUAUGGCCUGAGUUUGAGUCACGCUAAUCAUAUUUAUUAUUCAAGUUUUAUCUUAUUCUUGUGUUUCAACAAAAAAAAAUGAAAUUUGAAUUGGUAUUUUUAUUUCGAUUAAUUUAUACAUUUCUUUUUAAUAAGUAGUUUGAAUUUUAAUAUAUUUAUUUAGUUAAUUGGAAGAACUGAUUGAAUCGAUAAAAAAAUUUUAAAAAUUAAAAAUUGAAUUUUAGCAGUUACAAUCCUUUCUCAGUGCUGAUAAAAUGCAUGGGGUUGAAGAUUUGAUGAUGAAAAUAUCAUGGAGUCCUUUUUAUUAGGAGUUAUAUUAUAUUUUGUCUCUUCUAUUAGUCCUUGUAUAUUAGAUCAAUAAAAAUUGGUUCUUUUGUUAAAAUUUCUAUUCAUUUUUACAAUUAAAAAUUGGUCAUUGUAUGUCAAAAUGAGGUACACACAUGUAACUGUAUGACUAUUUUGUUAAUCACGUCAGUUUUUAACAAUAAAAAUAGAUGAAAUUUUAAUAGAAAUAAUCAGUUUACUCUUUAAUCUAACGUAUAAUGAAUAAUUUAACUCCUAACGCAUGGACCUCUAUAAUAUUUUUACCAAGAUAUUACUGAUAAAAAUAGAUAAAAAUUAACAUAUAUAUAUACAAAUUAUUUUUUAUUUUUUUAAUAUGUCUUAAAAAAUUAUAAUUAAUACACGUCUAAAUAACUAGAUCUAAAAUUAAAUCAUUACAAUAAUUUAAAAUAGGAAAACAAUGGGUUAAUUAGGGGAAAAAAAAGAAAAAGAAAAAAGAUGGGAAUAUGAAUUAGAGUUUGAUGGUUUAAAGGAACAAGUUGAACAAAGUGUGUGGUUUUUAUCAUGUUUGAUUAACUGUAUUUAGCCUUUAAAUUCAGACAAGUCUCCAAGGUUUCCCAACUAAGCCAACUUUGGAAUUUGGAAAUCCAGCUGCCUUUUUUACUUUAUUAUCAUAUUUAUGUCACAUAAUUAGCCAACUUGAUCUUAAAAUAAUAAUAUUAUUAUUAUUAAGAAAAACUAAUCAUACUUAAUCAAUGAAAUUAAAAUCAGGGUAAUUAUAUAGAAGUGAGCUGGACUCGGUUGAUUUUUUUUUUUUUUGAUUUUUCAAAUUGUUUGUGAUAAUUCGAUUUCAUUCUUUGAUUUUUUUUUAUAAAAUUAAUUUUAGUUUAUUGUUUUUGGAUAUUAUUUAGGAAAAUUUUAAAAACUUUUUAUAAAUAUUUUUUAGAAAACAACCCAUAGCACUUAUAUGGUUUUUUUUCUGUGUAGAGUUUUAAAGUUUUAGUUUGAAUUAAGCUUGUUUAAAUCAGAUCAGAUUGACCAGUCAAAUUUAUUGGAUCGAGAAUCAACUAGGGUACUGGUCUAGAAAAGGGAAUUGUUCUAGUUGAAUUGAAUUUUUAAUAUUUUUAUGAUUUUUUUAAUGAUUUAUUUAAUCGAACCAAUCGAAACGAUUACACCAAUUGGACCUACGAACCAUUGACCUAACUGGUUCUACCGUUGAUCCGAUUUUGAAAACCUUGGUUUGGAGGAUUUAUUUAGCUUUAGUUUGAGUUUAUAUUUGAAGAGGUUAUUAGUAUUAUUUAAACACAAUUAAUACAUCUAAAUAACUACAAUCAUAACCAAUUAUUAUAACGGAAUAUAUUUAGACUUAAACCAAGACCUACACAUAACAAAACUUAAUCCAAAGUAAAUACGAACCUUAAUCUUACUUGUAAAUAUAAAAAUAAAAUAAACAAAAAUUAAUUUCAAUAAUUUUAGUAUAAGGCCAAUUAAAGGUGAAAUGCAAAUUUUAAAAUGGGAAAUUUAAUUAAUUUUAGAAAAGUCCAUGCCUCUUAAAUUAGAUGGUGCAGUCUAUAUGGGAAUUGAAGAAUAUUGUCAAACAAUUCUCUCUCAUCAUUGUUCAACUUGAAUUGCCAUUUUCUAAGAGAUAUUUUAAAAUGGAAAAGAAAAUCUUCCAAGGAGAAUAAGUUACUCAUGAUUUACAUUAUUGAAAAGACCCCAAGAGAGUUGUGAACCAUUACCUUUUUAUGAACCAAUAAUUUUUUGACACACAUAAAUUUUAGAUUUACUGCCUUUCUAAUCACUUGCAAAAAGAUCUAUUUAGUAUUCUUUUUACUUAAUGUUAUAGUAUCGUUAUAGUAACUAAUUUUAUUGUCAUUGUUGUUUUUACACUUAGCACACAUAAACGUGCACCAUUCCGUUUUAUAUGAUUAUCAAUCAAAUAAAAAGUUAUUUUAUGUAUCAAUUCUUACAUCUCCUACUACUGGUGGAGUGACCGCGAGUUUUGGUAUGUUGGGGGAUAUCAUUAUUGUUAAACCCAAUGCCUAUAUUGCAUUUGCGGGUAAAAGAGUAAUUGAGCAAACAUUGAACAAAACAAUACCGGAAGGUUCUCAGGCGGCUGAAUAUUUAUUCCAUAAGGGUUUAUUUGAUCAAAUCGUACCACGUAAUCCUUUAAAAGGUGUUCUGAGUGAGUUAGUUCAGCUCCACGGUUUUUUUCCUUUGAAUCAAAAUUCAAUCAAGUAGAGUCUUAAGUGAAAUUUUUUUAUUUGUAGUGAAAAGGUAGUUAGUUAGUUUAUCAGAAUCAAAGUCAAAGCCCAUUACGCGGGCUUUGACUUUGUGACAAAAAAAGGAAUUGUCGAAAAACAAAUUAUGUGGAUAAUUAUUAUUAUCAUUAUCCGAUAUUACUAAUAAGUAAACCUCUAGCAACAAGAUAAAAAGCGAAUUUUUCCUUCUGUGAAAUGAAAAAUUUGGAGAGACAAAUAAGACGAAUUUUUAUCUUCCUCUAUUGCGUAUGUAUAUAUAAUUUAAAUAGCGAAAAAAAUAGAAUAGAANNNNNNNNNNNNNNNNNNNNNNNNNNNNNNNNNNNNNNNNNNNNNNNNNNNNNNNNNNNNNNNNNNNNNNNNNNNNNNNNNNNNNNNNNNNNNNNNNNNNAAAGGAGGGAAUAGUAUGUAUUUUUCGUUGGGGUUUUCCUGGAAAAAAUCGUCGCAUCUUUCUACGAUUCCUUAUGAAAGAUAUUCAGUCCAUCAGAAUAGAAGUUAAAGAGGGUAUUUAUGCUCGUCAUGUCCUUUAUAUGGAAAUCAGAGGCCAGAGGGCCGUUCCCUUGACUCGUACUGAUGAGAAUUUGACUCCGCGUGAAAUUGAACAAAAAGCUGCUGAAUUGGCCUAUUUUUUGCGUGUACCGAUUGAAGUCUUUUGAAAUGAAUUGCAGAAUAAAAGCUUUCUCGCCGGGAGGAAAAAGCUCAAUCCAAGAAUCCUCUUUUUUCUAUAGCAGAACUAAACUGAAGUUUCUUCAGAAUGCCCAUUCAAACCAAAGCGGACGUAUACGGAAGAGUCAUAACAUAAAAAAACAGUUUUUUUUGUCCACAAAAAUAGUUUUUUAUGCGUCUGUAAAUGUAAAACCGCUCAACUUAAUUCAGUAACAAAAUAAGCAAGAAAUCGAAAUACUGGAUUCAUCUCAUAUAUCAAAGUAUUUCGAAAUAAAGACUUUCGCUUUUUAUUUGCAAUAUUUGGAGUUGAUACGUGAGAUACAGAUAGAUCAUAUCUUGUAAAUUUUCUC
This 23847-nucleotide long non-coding RNA is filed under the name Gossypium raimondii (Peruvian cotton). Lineage: Eukaryota; Viridiplantae; Streptophyta; Magnoliopsida; Malvales; Malvaceae. The record is from RNAcentral.